RNAcentral lists this ribosomal RNA (777 nucleotides) under uncultured Archaeosporales. Its description in RNAcentral is "eukaryotic LSU rRNA". It matches the Rfam family "Eukaryotic large subunit ribosomal RNA", at positions 1 to 694 of the family's 3401-position model. The record is from RNAcentral. Lineage: Eukaryota; Fungi; Glomeromycota; Glomeromycetes; Archaeosporales.
UUACCUCAAAUCAGGUAGGAAUACCCGCUGAACUUAAGCAUAUCAAUAAGCGGAGGAAAAGAAACUAACCAGGAUUCCCCUAGUAACGGCGAGCGAAGCGGGAAUAGCUCAAAUUUUAAAUCGGACUUUUGUUCGAGUUGUAAUUUGAAGAGACGUUUUCACGUCAUUUACCAGGUCUAAGUGCUUUGGAAUAAGCCAUCAGAGAGGGUGAGAAUCCCGUCUUUGAUCUGGUUAUUGGCGGUACGAUACGUCCUCUAAGAGUCGAGUUGUUUGGGAUUGCAGCUCAAAAUGGGUGGUAAAUUCCAUCUAAGGCUAAAUAUAGGCGAGAGACCGAUAGCGAACAAGUACCGUGAGGGAAAGAUGAAAAGCACUUUGAAAAGAGAGUUAAAUAGUGCGUGAAAUUGUUGAAAGGGAAACGAUUGAAGCCAGUCGUGCCGGCGGAAAAUCAACUUAUAGGCUUCUAUGAGUGCACUUUUUCGCAAGGCAGGUUAGCAUCGGUUUCAGUUGCGUUAUAGUAAUCAUGGGAAGGUAGCUUCUUCGGAAGUGUUAUAGCCUGUGGUAGAUGACGUGACAGAGACCGAGGAUUGCAGCGAAUGCCUUUUAGGCUACGUGUCUGGUCUCUGGCUAUCAGUAACCUGCUCGUCAGCUUGCUGAAGAACUCGUUAAGGAUUUUCAAAGGUUCAGAACGCGAUAAAUUCGCUAAGGAUGCUGACGUAAUGGCUUUAAACGACCCGUCUUGAAACACGGACCAAGGAGUCUAACAUGUGUGCGAGUGUU